RNAcentral lists this ribosomal RNA (460 nucleotides) under uncultured bacterium. RNAcentral describes it as "partial 16S ribosomal RNA". It matches the Rfam family "Bacterial small subunit ribosomal RNA", at positions 338 to 795 of the family's 1533-position model. The record is from RNAcentral.
CCUACGGGGGACUGCAGUGAGGAAUAUUGGUCAAUGGACGAGAGUCUGAACCAGCCAAGUAGCGUGAAGGAUGACUGCCCUAUGGGUUGUAAACUUCUUUUAUAUGGGAAUAAAAUGUUCCACGUGUGGGAUUUUGUAUGUACCAUAUGAAUAAGGAUCGGCUAACUCCGUGCCAGCAGCCGCGGUAAUACGGAGGAUCCGAGCGUUAUCCGGAUUUAUUGGGUUUAAAGGGAGCGUAGGUGGAUUGUUAAGUCAGUUGUGAAAGUAUGCGGCUCAACUGAAAAAUUGCAGUUGAAACUGGCAGUCUAGAGUACAGUAGAGGUGGGCGGAAUGCGUGGUGUAGCGGUGAAAUGCUUAGAUAUCACAAAGAACACCGAUUGCGAAGGCAGUUCACUGGACUGCAACUGACACUGAGGCUCGAAAGUGUGGGUAUCAAACAGGAUUAGAUACCCGGGUAGUC